RNAcentral lists this ribosomal RNA (1057 nucleotides) under Bacillus altitudinis. Its description in RNAcentral is "bacterial SSU rRNA". It matches the Rfam family "Bacterial small subunit ribosomal RNA", at positions 34 to 1066 of the family's 1533-position model. The record is from RNAcentral. Lineage: Bacteria; Bacillati; Bacillota; Bacilli; Caryophanales; Bacillaceae.
GGCGGGCGGGGUGCCUAUACAUGCAAGUCGAGCGGACAGAAGGGAGCUUGCUCCCGGAUGUUAGCGGCGGACGGGUGAGUAACACGUGGGUAACCUGCCUGUAAGACUGGGAUAACUCCGGGAAACCGGAGCUAAUACCGGAUAGUUCCUUGAACCGCAUGGUUCAAGGAUGAAAGACGGUUUCGGCUGUCACUUACAGAUGGACCCGCGGCGCAUUAGCUAGUUGGUGAGGUAACGGCUCACCAAGGCGACGAUGCGUAGCCGACCUGAGAGGGUGAUCGGCCACACUGGGACUGAGACACGGCCCAGACUCCUACGGGAGGCAGCAGUAGGGAAUCUUCCGCAAUGGACGAAAGUCUGACGGAGCAACGCCGCGUGAGUGAUGAAGGUUUUCGGAUCGUAAAGCUCUGUUGUUAGGGAAGAACAAGUGCAAGAGUAACUGCUUGCACCUUGACGGUACCUAACCAGAAAGCCACGGCUAACUACGUGCCAGCAGCCGCGGUAAUACGUAGGUGGCAAGCGUUGUCCGGAAUUAUUGGGCGUAAAGGGCUCGCAGGCGGUUUCUUAAGUCUGAUGUGAAAGCCCCCGGCUCAACCGGGGAGGGUCAUUGGAAACUGGGAAACUUGAGUGCAGAAGAGGAGAGUGGAAUUCCACGUGUAGCGGUGAAAUGCGUAGAGAUGUGGAGGAACACCAGUGGCGAAGGCGACUCUCUGGUCUGUAACUGACGCUGAGGAGCGAAAGCGUGGGGAGCGAACAGGAUUAGAUACCCUGGUAGUCCACGCCGUAAACGAUGAGUGCUAAGUGUUAGGGGGUUUCCGCCCCUUAGUGCUGCAGCUAACGCAUUAAGCACUCCGCCUGGGGAGUACGGUCGCAAGACUGAAACUCAAAGGAAUUGACGGGGGGCCCGCACAAGCGGUGGAGCAUGUGGUUUAAUUCGAAGCCACGCGAAGAAACCUUACCAGGGUCUUGACUUCCUCUGACAACCCUAGAAAAUAGGGCUUUCCCUUCCGGGGAACGAAUGAAAAGGGGGUGCAUGGGUUGUCCUCCCCCCCGUGUC